Molecule: ribosomal RNA, 460 nt
Filed under: uncultured bacterium
Lineage: Bacteria
Description: partial 16S ribosomal RNA
Rfam family: Bacterial small subunit ribosomal RNA
Source: RNAcentral
CCUACGGGGUGCAGCAGUGAGGAAUAUUGGUCAAUGGACGAGAGUCUGAACCAGCCAAGUAGCGUGAAGGAUGACUGCCCUAUGGGUUGUAAACUUCUUUUAUAUGGGAAUAAAACGUUCCACGUGUGGGAUUUUGUCUGUACCAUAUGAAUAAGGAUCGGCUAACUCCGUGCCAGCAGCCGCGGUAAUACGGAGGAUCCGAGCGUUAUCCGGAUUUAUUGGGGUUAAAGGGAGCGUAGGUGGAUUGUUAAGUCAGUUGUGAAAGUUUGCGGCUCAACCGUAAAAUUGCAGUUGAAACUGGCAGUCUUGAGUACAGUAGAGGUGGGCGGAAUUCGUGGUGUAGCGGUGAAAUGCUUAGAUAUCACGAAGAACUCCGAUUGCGAAGGCAGUUCACUGGACUGCAACUGACACUGAGGCUCGAAAGUGUGGGUAUCAAACAGGAUUAGAUACCCCAGUAGUC